CGGCAUAGUGUCGUGGGUGCAAUAGGAGUGAGUGUUUGGGAUGGAACGAAGAUUAAAUGAUGGAGGGCUUGUAGAAAACAAAGGUUUUGGUGGAAAUGGAAGAUGGGUAUGGUUCAAGAAGAAGAAGAAGGACAAGAAGGGGAUUUUUGGAGAUGAGAGGAAGUGAGAUGUGGGUCAAGAAGAAGGGAAGAUGGGUGCGGUUGAACCAGAAGAACAAGAAGAAGAAGGGGGCUUUUGGAGAUGAGAGGAAGUGAGAGAUAAGAAAGCUUUUGGUGGAAAGGAAAGAUGGGUGUAGGUCAAGAAGAGAAAGAAGGAGAGAGAGAGCGGGGCGGCGGCGCUUGACUGGAGAUGAGAAGAAGAGAUGGGGUUGUCUACAAUGGAGAGAUAUGGUACUUAUGGUGAU
This 403-nucleotide long non-coding RNA is filed under the name Elaeis guineensis (African oil palm). RNAcentral describes it as "long non-coding RNA (EGUI_LNC074024)". The record is from RNAcentral. Lineage: Eukaryota; Viridiplantae; Streptophyta; Magnoliopsida; Arecales; Arecaceae.